AGCGGCGGAUGGGUGAGUAACACGUGGGGAACCUGCCCCUAAGUCUGGGAUACCAUUUGGAAACAGGUGCUAAUACCGGAUAAUAAAGCAGAUCGCAUGAUCAGCUUUUGAAAGGCGGCGUAAGCUGUCGCUAAGGGAUGGCCCCGCGGUGCAUUAGCUAGUUGGUAAGGUAACGGCUUACCAAGGCGACGAUGCAUAGCCGAGUUGAGAGACUGAUCGGCCACAUUGGGACUGAGACACGGCCCAAACUCCUACGGGAGGCAGCAGUAGGGAAUCUUCCACAAUGGACGCAAGUCUGAUGGAGCAACGCCGCGUGAGUGAAGAAGGUUUUCGGAUCGUAAAGCUCUGUUGUUGGUGAAGAAGGAUAGAGGUAGUAACUGGCCUUUAUUUGACGGUAAUCAACCAGAAAGUCACGGCUAACUACGUGCCAGCAGCCGCGGUAAUACGUAGGUGGCAAGCGUUGUCCGGAUUUAUUGGGCGUAAAGCGAGCGCAGGCGGAAAAAUAAGUCUAAUGUGAAAGCCCUCGGCUUAACCGAGGAACUGCAUCGGAAACUGUUUUUCUUGAGCGCAGAAGAGGAGAGUGGAACUCCAUGUGUAGCGGUGGAAUGCGUAGAUAUAUGGAAGAACACCAGUGGCGAAAGCGGCUCUCUGGUCUGCAACUGACGCUGAGGCUCGAAAGCAUGGGUAGCGAACGGGAUUAGAUACCCUGGUAGUCCAUGCCGUAAACGAUGAGUGCUAAGUGU
Molecule: ribosomal RNA, 743 nt
Filed under: uncultured bacterium
Lineage: Bacteria
Description: bacterial SSU rRNA
Rfam family: Bacterial small subunit ribosomal RNA
Source: RNAcentral